This 447-nucleotide ribosomal RNA is filed under the name uncultured bacterium. RNAcentral's name for it is "partial 16S ribosomal RNA". It matches the Rfam family "Bacterial small subunit ribosomal RNA", at positions 29 to 523 of the family's 1533-position model. The record is from RNAcentral.
AGCGAACGCUGGCGGCAGGCUUAACACAUGCAAGUCGAACGCCCCGCAAGGGGAGUGGCAGACGGGUGAGUAACGCGUGGGAAUCUACCCAGAUCUUCGGAACAACUGAGGGAAACUUCAGCUAAUACCGGAUACGCCCUACGGGGGAAAGAUUUAUCGGUUCUGGAUGAGCCCGCGUUGGAUUAGCUAGUUGGUGAGGUAACGGCUCACCAAGGCGACGAUCCAUAGCUGGUCUGAGAGGAUGAUCAGCCACACUGGGACUGAGACACGGCCCAGACUCCUACGGGAGGCAGCAGUGGGGAAUAUUGGACAAUGGGCGAAAGCCUGAUCCAGCCAUGCCGCGUGAGUGAUGAAGGCCUUAGGGUUGUAAAGCUCUUUCAGUGGGGAAGAUAAUGACGGUACCCACAGAAGAAGCCCCGGCUAACUUCGUGCCAGCCGCCGCGGUAA